AAGCUUUUCCUCUUCCUGGGUUAACUAAAGGUAAAUAAACACACGAGUAUGACUUUCAAACAUAUUAUCACUGUGUCCACCGGUCCACAUCAGUCUGUGUACAGCAGGAGUUAGUUGUGCAGCCCGGGAAACACACGUCAUAAAACGCCGGUGCACCGGGUAGUAAAGGAUGGCUUUUCCGUGUGUGCGGCUGUGCUCUCGACACAUGAGUGCAGGACUUCAAGUCUGUUCUUAUGCAACACUCAGUAAAGCAUCCAGACCCCAAGAAAAAAGCAGCACUGAUCCAGUUUUUCAGUAUGUCGGCCAGCACAAAAAGCCCAACCACAAAGUGUUUGUGUGGGGCUUCAGCUUCACCGGUGCUCUGGGUAUCCCCAGCUUUGUGGUGCCAGACAGCGGCAGAAAAAAACCACGCAAAUACCAGCUGACUCCUUACCGGCUGGAGACUGCAGAGCAGAUCACUUCUGCUGCUUGUGGUUAUGGUUUCACACUCAUCGCCUCCUCGACCAAAGAUAUAAUCAAGCUGUGGGGCAUGGGCCUGAACAAGGACUCUCAGCUGGGCUUCCAACGCACACAACACAGCCGCCUUCAGAGCUAUGACUACGUGUUGGAACCCUCCCCGGUGGCUCUGCCUCUUGUCAAACCUCUGCAGACCAGAGUGGUUCAGGUUGCAAGUGGCCGCGCUCACUCUCUUGUCCUCACUGACCAAGAGGGAGUUUUCAGUAUGGGCAACAACGCGUAUGGUCAAUGUGGAAGGCAGAUAGUUGAAGAUGAAGUCUACAGCGGCAGUCACAUCAUUCACAAGAUAGAAGGCUUUGGCUCCAGGGUCGUCCAGGUGGCAUGUGGACAGGACCACAGUCUUUUCCUCACUGAGACAGGGAAAGUGUACGCAUGUGGAUGGGGAGCAGAUGGGCAGACGGGUCUGGGUCACCACAACAUCAGCUCCAGUCCGGUGGAGGUGGGAGGGGAUCUGGCAGGGGUGGAGGUGCAGCAGAUCAGCACGUAUGGAGACUGCAGCCUGGCUCUGUCCAGAGAUGGACAGCUGUAUGGAUGGGGCAACUCUGAAUACCUGCAGCUGUCGUCAGUCACUGAGGCCACACAGAUCAACUCUCCCCGACAUCUUCCUCUGAAAGGCUGUGGAAAGCUGGUUCAGGCAGCAUGUGGGGGCACACAGGUGGCCAUUCUCAACGAAAAAGGAGAGGUGUUUGUUUGGGGCUAUGGCAUUCUUGGAAAAGGGCCCAAACUAUCCGAAUCAUCGACCCCGGAGAUGAUUCCCCCAACACUGUUUGGACGGUCAGAGUUCAGCCCCUCAGUAGCCGUCACCAGGAUCAGGUGUGGCCUCAACCAUUUUGCUGCAGUGACAGAUCGAGGCGAGCUCUUCGUUUGGGGGAAGAAUAUGAGAGGUUGUUUGGGCAUCGGGAAGAGAGACGACCAGUACUUCCCAUGGCGAGUGACUGUUCCAGGUCAAGUGGUGGAUGUAGCAUGUGGUGUAGACCACAUGGUGGCGCUGGUGAAGUCCCUCCUGUGAGCAAGUGGAUAAAAAGACUGGAUGUUUGGAUGAGCCCCCCCUCUUUCCCCGCCUCUGACCUCAAAGCACCUCAGGGAGCCGAUCGGGGGCCACGCUGGAGUCUUGAAGCCAGCUGGUCUCCACAGAGGGGGUUUCUGCAGCUGGAACAGCCUUCCACCACCUCUACCUCCUCCUCCACCACCUCCUCCUGUGUCUGUGUGCUGAAGUGAGCUGAAGCAGAGAAAAGAUGGCAUGUGGAGGCACCCGCACAGAGGUACAAGGACCUGGCUGUUCUCUGCUUUGUUUACUCGGGUCAAAUAAUACAGACAACUGAUAUACCUGCAGUCUUCCCUCCUGUCGUCCAUCUGCUGCAGGCUGGAGUGGACAAAGAGUAUUAGUGAAGUGGAGAAGAUACUGACAGAAAGACAGGCGUGUCUAUUAAAUGUUUGUUUCACAUGAAGUCUAAAAUUGCAUCAUAAGUACAUGUGGGAAACCUCACUAGCUGCCCCUAGAGGCUGAAGUGGACACUGAUUGAUUUGGUUGAGGGUUUGCUGUUAUGAAGAUUCUAGGCAUUUAAGUGAGACUAAUAUAGUGGAAAGCUGACAGAGAGCCCAAAAUGAACUAGUUAAUCCUCAGGGGAGCGUGAACAUGCUCAGUAGCAUUCACAUCAAUCUGCACAUUCGAUUUUUAGAGAUUUAGAGCAUUUCUUAGAGAUUAAGAGUUUAAAGCAUCACUGAUUAAGAUUAAGGAACAUCCUCUAAUAUCAUCAGGAUUCAUCUUCAGGGGAUCAUGCAUACCAAGUUGGAAUAUUAUACAUUUUUUUACAUUUAAAGAUUUUAAUAUUCUCUAGUAAGUUUUUUUAAAAUGUACUUAUUUACUUACUUACAUAUUUAUCCAAUAUUUUGCUUGUGUCUUGUGUCUCACUGGUGGAAAACAAGUCCCUGUUGAAUUGAUGUAGUGCAGAUGUAACAAACAUUGCCACAGAAAGUCUCAGCAACAUCACUGCUGCUGUUCACGCUUGACAGAUGACAUCCUUCACUUCCAGUUUGUGUUCAGACUUUGUAAAAUCCCUGCCACAUGUGCUAGUCUGUUCCCUUGAACGUUACUUUUCAUUAGCUAAUGAUAUUAAUGUGCUGUUAAUGACUGUAAAUGUUCUUGUAUAGUACUGAUACUGUGUUUUGGCAUUCUUUUAGCUCUGUAAAUGUGUAGGGUCAUGGUGGAGAAAGUAUUCAGAUCUUUAACUUAAGAUAAAGUACUUAAAAUUAUGCAUUAAUGUAAAAACAGGAUUUUACUGCUGUAGUUAGUUGAGGUGGAGCUCAUUUCUAAUUAUUUUGUAUAAAACUGCAACUGAUUACCUAAACAUUAUAAAAUAAAUAGUUUUUACAUUAAGUAGUGGACAUUUGGGUUCUGCUCAAAGCUUUCUGUUUAUUUAAAGGACGCUUUGAUUGUUGAGUCUCUGUAAAUAAUAUUUACACUCUAGACCUGCGCUAUAUGCAAAGUAUCAUGAGAAAACUUCUGUUGUGAUUUGGUGCUAUAU
Larimichthys crocea (large yellow croaker) is the source of this 3041-nucleotide RNA transcript. It is a transcript of the gene named RCC1 like, with no coding region annotated. The record is from RefSeq and is a predicted model, not a curated record. NCBI's taxonomy places the organism in Eukaryota, Metazoa, Chordata, Actinopteri, Sciaenidae. The transcript has 13 exons.